Molecule: non-coding RNA, 99 nt
Organism: Acanthosepion pharaonis
Lineage: Eukaryota; Metazoa; Mollusca; Cephalopoda; Sepiida; Sepiidae
Source: the annotation of a GenBank genome assembly
GUUAUAACACCGGUUCUCGCACGAUGACCGAAAUUCAGCAACGUCGAGCCUGGUCAGUACCUAGAUGGGUGACCGCUUGGGAAUACCAGGUGCUGUAAG